Molecule: long non-coding RNA, 235 nt
Filed under: Lathyrus oleraceus (garden pea)
Lineage: Eukaryota; Viridiplantae; Streptophyta; Magnoliopsida; Fabales; Fabaceae
Description: Pisum sativum (pea) long non-coding RNA (PSAT_LNC014099)
Source: RNAcentral
AAAAUGGGAAAUAAAAAAUUCAAUAAAAGGUCAAGUUGACCAUGAGACAUUGGUCAACCAUCAUCCCAAAAAUCAGAAGCUAAAAAUAAUUUUAAGUUAUGGAAAUAAAAUAAAUGAAAAAAAGUGUGUCAAAAUGGCCUAUUAGACACAAAUAAUUAAAAUAAAAUACUUGCAUUAAAUAAAAACAAGAAUAAAAAUUAAAAUAAAUUAAAUGAAACAUUUAAGAAUGUAAAAA